This 207-nucleotide long non-coding RNA is filed under the name Elaeis guineensis (African oil palm). RNAcentral describes it as "long non-coding RNA (EGUI_LNC072837)". The record is from RNAcentral. Lineage: Eukaryota; Viridiplantae; Streptophyta; Magnoliopsida; Arecales; Arecaceae.
GGCGCAAAAGGAAGAAAGGGUGGGCAGCAUAAAUCAAGAGUCCUAGGAUAGUUGGACUCUUAUCUCUUUACUUAAAAUCUUUGUCAACUCCUAUUUAAAUAUGGGAUCAUAUGAGGCGGUAAUAAGGGGCUGAUUGAGAUUAGUUUUGAGAUGCCAAAAAUCAGAGGAGGCAUGUGUGAAAAUUCCAAGGAGAGAAGGUGCGGCAUG